UACGAAGGGGGCUAGCGUUGCUCGGAAUCACUGGGCGUAAAGCGUGCGCAGGCGGUUCGUUGUGUCGGUGGUGAAAUCCCCGGGCUUAACCUGGGAAUGGCCAUGGAAACUGGCGAACUGGAGUGCGGCAGAGGGGGGUGGAAUUCCGCGUGUAGCAGUGAAAUGCGUAGAGAUGCGGAGGAACACCGAUGGCGAAGGCAGCCCCCUGGGCUAGCACUGACGCUCAGGCACGAAAGCGUGGGGAGCAAACAGG
This 253-nucleotide ribosomal RNA is filed under the name uncultured bacterium. RNAcentral describes it as "partial 16S ribosomal RNA". It matches the Rfam family "Bacterial small subunit ribosomal RNA", at positions 524 to 776 of the family's 1533-position model. The record is from RNAcentral.